GAAGGGGGCAGAUAACUCAUAAUAUUCUUACUCGAUUGUGGCAGGCUUGGAAAGAAAAUCAUUUAGAAUUGAAGAGAACAAGAGCCGUGUAAGGAAAGCAGUGUGCUUGGUGACAGGAACUUGGAAUGAGACUGGUGUAAAGAACCUGGCCGUGGUGUCAGACAGAGAAGAUUUGAAUCCCGUUGUUGUCACUUAUAAGCAGUAUGAUUCCCUGGGUUUUCUUCUGUGUCAAAUGGAAGUGAUAAUUGGAUAUGUUUCGUAAGGCGAUUGUGAAGGCUAGAUAGGAUAACGGAGAUGCAUCUUUUUGGGAAAACCGUUUUCUGCCCAAAGGAAAUCAGCUUUCCUGUUUUCUGUUGUUAUCAAUAUUGCUGUUUGGGUUCCCUUGAGUGUGGAUUAAAUGGCAGCUGAGAAAUCUUGUUGGGACCACCUCUUCCCAUUGCCUUUCAAAGUGAAGUCUUGACAAGAAAUGAGUUCUUCCCAAAGAUAAGUACAUUGGAGGUUGGGUCUGGUGGUAGCUUCCUAAUGAAUUUGUGGUGCACAGAUCUGUCCUUGAGCUAUUUUCUGUAAUGUUCUCACUGCAGUGUCCCAUGACUGAUCUUAUUUCAGAGAAUUGUAUGAGUUUUGCAGCAAAUUACAAGGAAGGCCUGGUUCCUAAAAUCAGCUGAAGGCCAAUUAAGGUUUCUUGGGGCGCUUUCCUUCAGCUGCAAUGUCAUCAUAAAUGACUCUCCAGUGCAGUGGAGGGCUGACAUUUUGUAAGCUAAUACUAUAUUUUGGGAGUGAUUAAAAUCUCCAUCUCAGUCACCUGCCUGACCAACUGCCAGUGGCCACAAAACAAAAAGAUUACAGUCAAUUCAUAUCCAUUAGGAAAAUGACAUGAAACACUAUUGGUUUAGGCUCAGUGGGGCUUAAUCUGAUUUCAGGAAGAAAGAAGAGGUGUGCAAUUAAAGGAGAGAGGAAAGGCAGAAAAGAAAAUCAAAUGAGAAUUUUCCCCCAAAACCCAAGGCCUUUUUGGUUUGUUCAUUUCCAUAAGGAUUUAUUAAGUACCUGUUGAGUUCUUCCCACUAUGGUAGACCCUGAAAGGGAAGAAGGAGAAAACACUAGCAAUGCCUGUCCUCAGAAUUUGCAGUGAAGUAGGGGGGAAAUACUACACACUGAGGAGGUGGCCAGAGAAUUAGCAGAUUCAUGUUAGUAGGAAUUUAAAAAUAUUCUUUAGGUGCCUGGCACAGUUGGAAAAGGAAAAGAAGAUAAGUGAGAAAGGAUAGUUGACAUCUACAUGCUCUUACUGUGUGCUUCACAUUAAGUUUUACACAUAUUAACUCACCUUUACAACAACCCUACAUACCAUUAUUAUUCCCGCUUUAUGGAUGAGAAAACUGAGGCCCACAGUAGUGAAGAAACUUGCCUGAGAUCACACAGUCCGCAAGAGGAAGAGCUGGGGUUUGCAUACAGCUACUCUGGUCCUAGAAUCUGAGGUUUUACCAUUAUUCUAUGUGGCCUCCCAAGGUGAUGGGGUAUUCCUGACCCAUGAGGAUUUUCAUUCUCCAUGGGGAGAUGAGGUCUAGGUGUGGGGAUAAUUAAGCUACAGGUAGAGGGUGUAACAGUGGAGGCAGGGAAUAGAGUGAUUGAUGACUUCAGAAAGGUGGGUGUGCUAACUGAACUCUGGACACGGAUGUGUAUAUGUUGGGGGAAGCUCUGCACAGAGGGAUAGAGAAGGUUCUAACCCAGGAAAAGAGCACGAGCAGAGGAGACUGAAAGAAUGGCUACAAUUUGCAGUUACUUGUUUGUAGUUGUCCAAGAAGAGAAAUCAUUAAAUCAAAGGGUGCCUUCUUACAAGGACAAGGGUUUAUAGCACUAGGGACAAGAGCAAGGAUGUGGAAUCUGACAGACUAAGUUUAAAGUUCGAUUGUGUCAUGCUCCUCAAGUGACCUUGAGAGAGUUACCUAGCCUUUAUCGGCAAAUGCAAGAUGGGAAGAACGGCUAUAGAAGAACUGGGAAAGUCUCUCAUCUUGUAACGGAGCUCAUUUAUUUACUUCUUCAAAAAUAUUCAUUAGGAACCAAUUACCUGCCAUGUGCUGUGCUAGAUGUUGGGACAAUGAACAAGGCAAACAUGAGUGUUGCUCUCGUAGAGCUUGUAUUCUAACUGGGGAGGCAACAUAAUAAACAAGCAGUAAUCAACAAGUAAUCUUAGGAUAUGAGAGGGAUUUUGAAGAAAACAUAGGGUUGGGGCCAAGUAGAAUUAAUGGCUUUUACUGUGCCAAGGACAGUGUUUGUCAGGUAGGAGGCAAUCAAAACACAGGAGCUUUCAUUUUACAUUUAUUAAUAGCUCCAUCUUGAAAUUCAACAUGUAAGAGGAAGCCAAGGUAUCAGAUACUCUUUGCUGCCUACCAGGAGGGCAUUUCUCCUUUCACCUUGCUUACAGACCCCUCUUUAAUCCAAGAUUCAUCUUAUGCCCACAGGCAAGGUGUUGGGGUUACAGGAAGCUCAGGAUGGAUGUCUACAUCUCCAAGGAACUAUCACUUUCUACCAAAAUGUGAGAAGAAACUCUGGAAUACAAUGUCAUGAGGAUGGGAACUGUUGUGUAUUCACUGCUUUCCCCUCAGUGCCCAGGACAGUUCCCAGCACAGAAUAGGGGCUCAACAAAUGUCUGUGGAAUUAUUAAACAGGUCAAUUGAAAUAAACAUGGAUAUAUUUUAGAAUCACACAAGCAUGGCAUAAAAUUUUAAAAAUCCAAACAGAUGGCAGUGCUCCUGCUGCAUUUGAAACAUGGGCUUCCUCAGACUCUGCUCUGAAAUUGCAAUGGAGGAGAAACCAGUGGUUUCAAGGAACAGAAAGGCAGGGGAAGCUGGGCCAGCCUCAGCUCUACAAGGGUGGUCACCAGCUCCGGGACUGACAAGGGCCAUAGUACAAGACGGAGACGAAGUGCCGAGUUCCCAGAGGCUGUUGGUGGUGGCGAGGCCUGUGCCAUGAGCGGUGUCUUCUGGAAGAAUGUCGGGAAGAAGUUUGAAGACAGGCUGGCCCGAAUUCACAGCCCAGGAGAGGUCUGACUUAAAAAUAAAUCCUUGUGUAAAUUAAAAAAGGAAUCUAAGCAAGCCUAUCUAUAAAGUCAGGAUGUUACUGGCUGUUAAUUGGUAAUAUAUAUGGCUUAAUAAGAAAACCGUAAACUGAGUUCUAAUUCUUUAAAUCUUUUUCUGCAUAUAUAGCAUCUUUUUACUCACUUAUUACAAAGUAUCUCACAUAACUCACCUAGAUGUUUGGCCAGAGUGAAUUUUAUGUAGCAUUGAUAUAUGUCAUCAUACUGAACUUGUGUAUUAGACAUGGAAAUAUACUGAAACAUGUAAUUUCUCAUGUUGCCAUUAAUACCCAUUAAGAGAGUUGUUAAGAAAAAAAAAAGAAAGAGAGUUGUUUAGUUAUUAUUUGACCAUUGUUCCGACUGAAGAACCAAAACACCAAACACCUGGAGGAGGGACUUGUCUAAGUUCACAAGGCUAAGUGCAGGCAACACCAAUGCCUGGGGCUGUGUUUCCUGAUUCUCAGACCUGCAGUUAAUGGGAACACUUUAUCACACUAAAGUAAAUCAAUUUUCAUUCUUCCAUUUAUCUCUGCGUGCAAUGAAUGACAGAGUGACUAUACCUAACAGGGGGUCAAUAUCGAGAUGCUGGAAACAAAGAGAUGAAAAAAAUGAUUCCAUUCUCAAGAAGCUACCAUUAAUAAUGGGAGAAUCGUAAAUGCCAAUGGAUGACCAGCAAUUUGAUUAUGCAUGACUGUUACAGCAGUUAAAUAUCGAGGGCAUGCAGAAGGCAUGUAGGUAACCAGCAGGAAAGUCAGGGAAGGCUUUGCCAAGGCAGAGACAUCUGAGAUUAUCCUUAAAGGAAAAAUCUGUUUACAAGGCAGUGAGUAGGGGUGUGUGUUGGGGAAGGACACUCAAAAUGGAGGGCACAGGAAGGUCAUAAACAGAGAAGUGUUAAAGGGCAUGGACUGUCCUGGGAACGGUGAUAUAAAUUCAGUGCCGUCGGGUCCUAAGAUGUGGUGGGUGCAUAAAUGGGAGACAAGGCAUGUGCACUGGGUGCCAGAAAGCUUGUUGGUCAUUCUGAGAAGUGCAGACUCAGAGCAUGAGGUGAAGAGACUCAAGGGUGUGUUGCAAGUUGUGUGUGUGUGUGUGUGUGUGUGUGUGUGUGUGUGAGGGAAGGGGAGA
Long non-coding RNA from Neofelis nebulosa (Clouded leopard), 4192 nucleotides. RefSeq lists it as uncharacterized. The record is from RefSeq and is a predicted model, not a curated record. The transcript has 5 exons. NCBI's taxonomy places the organism in Eukaryota, Metazoa, Chordata, Mammalia, Carnivora, Felidae.